Molecule: non-coding RNA, 112 nt
Organism: Mustela putorius furo (domestic ferret)
Lineage: Eukaryota; Metazoa; Chordata; Mammalia; Carnivora; Mustelidae
Source: Rfam
AUUAGAAGACAAGCCAACCCCUGAACGCGCCUGAUCUCGUCUGAUCUUGGAAGCUAAGCAGGGUCGGGCCUGGUUAGUACUUGGAUGGGAGAAAACAAGCCAACAUCUGGGA